RNAcentral lists this ribosomal RNA (253 nucleotides) under uncultured bacterium. RNAcentral's name for it is "partial 16S ribosomal RNA". It matches the Rfam family "Bacterial small subunit ribosomal RNA", at positions 524 to 776 of the family's 1533-position model. The record is from RNAcentral.
AACGUAGGACGCAAGCGUUAUCCGGAGUUACUGGGCGUAAAGCGCGGGCAGGCGGUUCUGCCAGUCUGAUGUGAAAUCUCCCCGCUCAACGGGGAGCAGCCAUUGGAAACUACAGAACUGGAGUCUGACAGAGGUAGGCGGAAUUCCGGGUGGAGUGGUGAAAUUCGUAGAUAUUCGGAGGAACACCAGUGGCGAAGGCGGCUCACUGGUCCGGUACUGACGCUGAGGUGCGAAAGCGUGGGGAGCAAACAGG